This is a long non-coding RNA of Anguilla anguilla (European eel), 799 nucleotides long. RefSeq lists it as uncharacterized. Lineage: Eukaryota; Metazoa; Chordata; Actinopteri; Anguilliformes; Anguillidae. The record is from RefSeq and is a predicted model, not a curated record. The transcript has 2 exons.
AGAGCCCACUGCAGGUCAAACACUCACUGAAGCCUGUAGUACACUUACUCAUCAAUAGAGCCCACUACAGGUCAAACACUCACUGAAGACUGUAGCAUACUUACUCAUCAAUAGAGCCCACUGUGGUGUCAGACACUCACUGAAGACUGUAGCAUACUUACUCAUCAAUAGAGCCCACUACAAGUCAAACACUCACUGAAGACUGUAGCAUACUUACUCAUCAAUAGAGCCCACUACAGGUCAAACACUCACUGAAGACUGUAGCAUACUUACUCAUCAAUAGAGCCCACUACAGGUCAAACACUCACUGAAGACUGUAGCAUACUUACUCAUCAAUAGAGCCCACUACAGGUCAAACACUCACUGAAGACUGUAGCAUACUUACUCAUCAAUAGAGCCCACUACAGGUCAAACACUCACUGAAGACUGUAGCAUACUUACUCAUCAAUAGAGCCCACUACAGGUCAAACACUCACUGAAGACUGUAGCAUACUUACUCAUCAAUAGAGCCCACUACAGGUAAACACUCACUGAAGACUGUAGCAUACUUACUCAUAAAUAGAGCCCACUACAGGUCAAACACUCACUGAAGACUGUAGCAUACUUACUCAUCAAUAGAGCCCACUGUGGUGUCAGACACUCACUGAAGACUGUAGCAUACUUACUCAUCAAUAGAGCCCACUACAAGUCAAACACUCACUGAAGACUGUAGCAUACUUACUCAUCAAUAGAGCCCACUACAGGUCAAACACUCACUGAAGACUGUAGCAUACUUACUCAUCAAUAGAGCCCACUACAG